This 352-nucleotide long non-coding RNA is filed under the name Homo sapiens (human). Its description in RNAcentral is "HSALNT0312677". Lineage: Eukaryota; Metazoa; Chordata; Mammalia; Primates; Hominidae. The record is from RNAcentral.
AUCAUCUUCAGUGCCCUGUACGGGAGACGCUACUUGCCAGCAUACAGUGGUUUCUGGCUUAUUUUCACAGGCUUCUGAAGACAAUUAUAGCCUAAUGACUCAAGAGUUUCCCAGAGCUGGAAUUCUUUUCCAAAAUGAGUUAACCAGAUCCCUUUUAUGCAUGGCUGCAUGAAAUGAAAUGAAAACAGAAGAUGACCAUUUUUCAUUUUCCUGUUCAGAUUCUGAUCUGCUGCAGAGAUCAGAAGCACUCUUGCAUGGGGGUCAAGAGGCACAUUGCCUGUCAAUGUCUUCAUGGUUGAUGAUACAGUCUUCAAACCAAAAAGAAAUAUGUUCAAGUGUUGCCAGGAAAAUA